This 167-nucleotide small nuclear RNA is filed under the name Echinops telfairi (small Madagascar hedgehog). RNAcentral describes it as "U1 spliceosomal RNA (ENSETEG00000022686.1)". It matches the Rfam family "U1 spliceosomal RNA". From Rfam's summary of the family: U1 is a small nuclear RNA (snRNA) component of the spliceosome (involved in pre-mRNA splicing). Its 5' end forms complementary base pairs with the 5' splice junction, thus defining the 5' donor site of an intron. The record is from RNAcentral. Lineage: Eukaryota; Metazoa; Chordata; Mammalia; Afrosoricida; Tenrecidae.
CUACUUACCUGGCAGGGGAGAAGAUACCAUGAUCACGAAGGUGGUUUUCCCAGGGUGAGGCUUAUCCAGCACACUCCGGAAGUGCUGACCCCUGCGAAUUCCCCAAAUGUGGGAAACUCAACUGCAUAAUUUGUGGUAGUGGGGGACUGCGUUCAUGCUCUCCCCUU